GAUGAACGCUAGCGGCAGGCUUAAUACAUGCAAGUCGAGGGGCAGCAUGACCGUAGCAAUACGGUUGAUGGCGACCGGCAAACGGGUGCGGAACACGUACACAACCUUCCUUCGAGCGGGGAAUAGCCCGGGGAAACCCGGAUUAAUACCCCAUAGUAUAUUGAAGAGGCAUCUCUUUACUAUUAAAGAUUUAUCACUUGAAGAUGGGUGUGCGGCUGAUUAGCUAGUUGGCGGGGUAACGGCCCACCAAGGACAACGAUCAGUAACUGGUGUGAGAGCACGACCAGUCACACGGGCACUGAGACACGGGCCCGACUCCUACGGGAGGCAGCAGUAAGGAAUAUUGGUCAAUGGACGCAAGUCUGAACCAGCCAUGCCGCGUGGAGGAUGAAGGUCCUCU
This 400-nucleotide ribosomal RNA is filed under the name uncultured bacterium. RNAcentral's name for it is "bacterial SSU rRNA". It matches the Rfam family "Bacterial small subunit ribosomal RNA", at positions 28 to 420 of the family's 1533-position model. The record is from RNAcentral.